CAGGCGGAUUGUUAAGCAAGAUGUGAAAUCCCCGGGCUUAACCUGGGAAUGGCAUUUUGAACUGACAGUCUAGAGUGUGUCAGAGGGGGGUGGAAUUCCACGUGUAGCAGUGAAAUGCGUAGAGAUGUGGAGGAACACCGAUGGCGAAGGCAGCCCCCUGGGAUAACACUGACGCUCAUGUACGAAAGCGUGGGUAGCAAGCAGGAUUAGAUACCCUGGUAGUCCACGCCCUAAACGAUGUCAACUGGUUGUUGGGGGAGUGAAAUCCCUUAGUAACGAAGCUAACGCGUGAAGUUGACCGCCUGGGGAGUACGGUCGCAAGAUUAAAACUCAAAGGAAUUGACGGGGACCCGCACAAGCGGUGGAUGAUGUGGAUUAAUUCGAUGCAACGCGAAAAACCUUACCUACCCUUGACAUGUCCGGAAUCCUGAAGAGAUUUGGGAGUGCUCGAAAGAGAACCGGAACACAGGUGCUGCAUGGCUGUCGUCAGCUCGUGUCGUGAGAUGUUGGGUUAAGUCCCGCAACGAGCGCAACCCUUAUCAUUAGUUGCUACGCAAGGGCACUCUAAUGAGACUGCCGGUGACAAACCGGAGGAAGGUGGGGAUGACGUCAAGUCCUCAUGGCCCUUAUGGGUAGGGCUUCACACAUCAUACAAUGGUCGGUACAGAGGGUUGCCAAGCCGCGAGGUGGAGCCAAUCCCAGAAAGCCGAUCGUAGUCCGGAUUGUUCUCUGCAACUCGAGAGCAUGAAGUCGGAAUCGCUAGU
Molecule: ribosomal RNA, 764 nt
Filed under: uncultured bacterium
Lineage: Bacteria
Description: bacterial SSU rRNA
Rfam family: Bacterial small subunit ribosomal RNA
Source: RNAcentral